This 406-nucleotide ribosomal RNA is filed under the name uncultured bacterium. RNAcentral's name for it is "partial 16S ribosomal RNA". It matches the Rfam family "Bacterial small subunit ribosomal RNA", at positions 30 to 526 of the family's 1533-position model. The record is from RNAcentral.
AUUGAACGCUGGCGGCAGGCCUAACACAUGCAAGUCGAACGAGUGGCGGACGGGUGAGUAAUGUCUGGGAACCUGCCUGAUGGCGGGGGAUAACUACUGGAAACGGUAGCUAAUACCGCAUACCAUCGGAUGUGCCCAUAUGGGAUUAGCUAGUAGGUGGGGUAACGGCCCACCUAGGCGACGAUCCCUAGCUGGUCUGAGAGGAUGACCAGUCACACUGGAACUGAGACACGGUCCAGACUCCUACGGGAGGCAGCAGUGGGGAAUAUUGCACAAUGGGCGCAAGCCUGAUCCAGCCAUGCCGCGUGUAUGAAGAAGGUCUUCGGAUUGUAAAGUACUUUAAGCGGGGAGGCGUUACCCACAGAAUAAGCACCGGCUAACUCCGUGCCAGCCGCCGCGGUAAUUC